Molecule: ribosomal RNA, 696 nt
Filed under: uncultured Lachnospiraceae bacterium
Lineage: Bacteria; Bacillati; Bacillota; Clostridia; Lachnospirales; Lachnospiraceae
Description: bacterial SSU rRNA
Rfam family: Bacterial small subunit ribosomal RNA
Source: RNAcentral
GCCUAACACAUGCAAGUCGAACGAAGUUACACAGAGGAAGUUUUCGGAUGGAAUCAGUAUAAGUUAGUGGCGGACGGGUGAGUAACGCGUGGGAAACCUGCCCUGUACCGGGGGAUAACACUUAGAAAUAGGUGCUAAUACCGCAUAAGCGCACGGAACUGCAUGGUUCUGUGUGAAAAACUCCGGUGGUACAGGAUGGUCCCGCGUCUGAUUAGCCAGUUGGCAGGGUAACGGCCUACCAAAGCGACGAUCAGUAGCCGGCCUGAGAGGGUGAACGGCCACAUUGGGACUGAGACACGGCCCAAACUCCUACGGGAGGCAGCAGUGGGGAAUAUUGCACAAUGGGGGAAACCCUGAUGCAGCGACGCCGCGUGAGUGAAGAAGUAUUUCGGUAUGUAAAGCUCUAUCAGCAGGGAAGAAAAUGACGGUACCUGACUAAGAAGCCCCGGCUAACUACGUGCCAGCAGCCGCGGUAAUACGUAGGGGGCAAGCGUUAUCCGGAUUUACUGGGUGUAAAGGGAGCGUAGACGGCAUGGCAAGCCAGAUGUGAAAACCCAGGGCUCAACCUUGGGAUUGCAUUUGGAACUGCCGGGCUGGAGUGCAGGAGAGGUAAGCGGAAUUCCUAGUGUAGCGGUGAAAUGCGUAGAUAUUAGGAGGAACACCAGUGGCGAAGGCGGCUUACUGGACUGUAACUGA